UCCCAGACUCCUACGGGAGGCAGCAGUGGGGAAUAUUGCACAAUGGGGGAAACCCUGAUGCAGCGACGCCGCGUGAGCGAUGAAGUAUUUCGGUAUGUAAAGCUCUAUCAGCAGGGAAGAAGAUGACGGUACCUGACUAAGAAGCCCCGGCUAACUACGUGCCAGCAGCCGCGGUAAUACGUAGGGGGCAAGCGUUAUCCGGAUUUACUGGGUGUAAAGGGAGCGUAGACGGCGAUGCAAGCCAGAUGUGAAAGCCCGGGGCUCAACCCCGGGACUGCAUUUGGAACUGUGUGGCUGGAGGGUCGGAGAGGCAGGCGGAAUUCCUAGUGUAGCGGUGAAAUGCGUAGAUAUUAGGAGGAACACCAGUGGCGAGGGCGGCCUGCUGGUCGAUGACUGACGUUGAGGCUCGAAAGCGUGGGGAGCAAACAGGAUUAGAUACCCUUGUAUAC
RNAcentral lists this ribosomal RNA (449 nucleotides) under uncultured bacterium. Its description in RNAcentral is "bacterial SSU rRNA". It matches the Rfam family "Bacterial small subunit ribosomal RNA", at positions 329 to 795 of the family's 1533-position model. The record is from RNAcentral.